GUCUGUAUGAAGUUGAAUAGAGUCUGUUCUGCCAAUUGAGAAUAAAAAUGUCUUAAAAGGCCGCGGUAUAUUAACUGUGCAAAGGUAGCAUAAUCAGUAGUUUUUUAAUUGAAGGCUUGUAUGAAUGAUUGGACAAGGAUGAAACUGUCUUUUUUUAAAAAAUUGAAUUUUAUUUUUAAGUGAAAAAGCUUAAAUAUACUAGGGGGACGAUAAGACCCUAUAAAUCUUAAUGUUGCUAUUUUUGUAGAGGAAAAUAUUAAAGUAAAAAAGAAUUAUGAAAAUAAACAUUUGGCUGGGGUGGCAGUAAUAUAAAGAGAACUAUUAAAAAUAAAUAACAGAUAUAUUUGAAAUUAAAAGAUCCUGAUUACAGAUUAAGAGUAUAAGUUACUUUAGGGAUAACAGCAUAAUUUCUUUGGAGAGUUCUAAUCGAAAAAGAAGUUUGUGACCUCGAUGUUGAAUUAAAAGAUCCUUGAGGUGCAGAAGUUUCAGGGGAGAGUCUGUUCGACUUUUAAAUUUUUACAUGAUUUGA
Molecule: ribosomal RNA, 529 nt
Filed under: Megalobrachium mortenseni
Lineage: Eukaryota; Metazoa; Arthropoda; Malacostraca; Decapoda; Porcellanidae
Description: partial large subunit ribosomal RNA
Rfam family: Bacterial large subunit ribosomal RNA
Source: RNAcentral